CGAGUCGGUCGGGCGACCGCGUCGGCAGGAUCCGGGGUGACCGGGGUGCUGCCGCCGAGGAAAGUCCGGGCUCCACAGGGCAGGGUGGUUGUCAACGGCAACCCAGCGCGAGCUGCGGGACAGUGCCACAGAGAACAGACCGCCUGGCGGCCUCCGGGCCGCCCGGUAAGGGUGAAACGGUGGUGUAAGAGACCACCAGCGUCCCGGGUGACCGGGACGGCUCGGUAAACCCCACCUGGAGCAAGGUCGAGAGCGCCGCCCCUCGGGGCGGUGUGCGCAGACGUUCGAGGGCUGCCCGCCCGAGUCUGCGGGUGGACCGCUGGAGCGUGUCGGCAACGGCACGCCGAGAUGGAUGGUCGCCGAACGGGAUCGCCGCAAGGCGCCCGGGAACAGGACCCGGCUUACAGACCGACUCGUCCA
RNAcentral lists this RNase P RNA (420 nucleotides) under Nakamurella flavida. RNAcentral's name for it is "Humicoccus flavidus Bacterial RNase P class A". It matches the Rfam family "Bacterial RNase P class A". Rfam says of the family: Ribonuclease P (RNase P) is a ubiquitous endoribonuclease, found in archaea, bacteria and eukarya as well as chloroplasts and mitochondria. Its best characterised activity is the generation of mature 5'-ends of tRNAs by cleaving the 5'-leader elements of precursor-tRNAs. The record is from Rfam by way of RNAcentral. Lineage: Bacteria; Bacillati; Actinomycetota; Actinomycetes; Nakamurellales; Nakamurellaceae.